CACUGAACAUAUAUAUUUUAACUUUCAUGUAGAGUCUUAAGCACAAGACAUUUUUGCUUCACCGAGGUUUAUUAAGUUGGUACUGUAACAGGGCAGUUAAUGUAAGGGGAGAGUUCUCUUGAAUAAUUUACUUAAUAAUUAAUUAAUUUAACAUCUUUAAUGCAGCACAACCAAAACAGUAACAUUGUAAUAGAGAUCCUGAACACAUAACGAUAAAAUAUCAUACAAAGUACACACACACACACACACACACACACACACUUUGAACCCACACUGAAGUGUUUUUAAGCAUGUAACCUGUGUAUUAUAUGUUUUAAGAUUGUGCCACUUGCUGUAUAAGAUUUAAUAAUUAGGAUUAAUGUCUGACCUUUGACCGUGUCAUGACCUAUUGUGAUAAGCCAGAGCAAGGGGUACUCAGAGUCCUGACUGGCCUUUGGCCAAGACCUUGGCCGCUAUCUGACCCCAGCAGCUGUGCGGGGCGUGUGGGAAAGUUACCCAGCAGCAGGGGGCGGGGAUACUGGUCCCUAUAUUAGGGGACCAGAGGACACCCCCAGAGCUCUUUUCCUCCUGCUGCUGCUACCUGUCUGUCUCUGUGUUGCUCUGCUGUCUGUGCUUAAGGCUGUACACCCCGGGGUUUUGCUUUGCUUGCUUUCUGCUUUGUAAUUUUCUUGCUAAAUGUCUGUAUGUAUUUUUCCUGCUGUUCAUAUGAUUCAGUGUAUUAAACUCUGUUCCAAGAAUUCUGCUCUUUUACAGAGCAUCUUUUUGAGUGUCUUGGUUUUAAUUGGAUUUGGAUCUCCACAUCGUUGGUGGAAGAAGGUUAUCAGGAUGGCUUCAAAAUUUGCGACCACAGGGUGAUGCAUUCAGGAGUGAGGGACACUCUUGUACAAAUAAGAGAGAGAUAUUGGAUCAUCCAGGCUCGGCAGCUGGUUAAGAGCAUUGUGACCAGAUGCACUGUGUGUAAGAGGUUUAAGGCAAAGGCUGGGCAUCAGCUAACUGCACCUUUGCCUAGGGACUGAAUAUCCGAGUCACCACCAUUCGAAGUUACAGGUGUGGAUUUUGCUGGGCCGCUCUAUGUGAAAACAGAGGAUUCUGUGAAAAGAUCCUGCAUUGCCCUAUUUACCUGUGCUGUGACACGAGCUGUCCAUUUAGAGCUUGUGUCAGAUCAGUUAACUGAGACAUUUUUGCUAGCGUUGAAGAGAUUCAUUGCCCGGAGAGGGCUAUGCAGAGUUAUCUAUUCUGACAAUGCCAGAACAUUUAAGAGAGCAGACCAAGAUUUGAAGGAGCUGUGGAAGACAAUUAAAGACCCACAUUUGCUGGAGUUUUUCUCGGAAGGAGGAAUUACUUGGAAGUUCAUUGCAGAAAGAGCAGCCUGGUGGGGUGGAUUCUGGGAACGUCUUGUCAGAUCAGUGAAAAUCUGCCUCAAGAAGGUGUUAGGUAGAGCUUCACUCCACUUUGAAGAAAUGUGUACUGUGUUGGCGGAAGUCGAAGCUACUCUGAACUCUUGGCCUCUCACCUUUGUGCACAACGAGGUAAAUGA
Long non-coding RNA from Oreochromis aureus, 1537 nucleotides. The record is from Ensembl. NCBI's taxonomy places the organism in Eukaryota, Metazoa, Chordata, Actinopteri, Cichliformes, Cichlidae.